GCAGAGCGAGCAGCAGGGCGAGGGCGAACGGGGCGAAGGUGUUGGGGACCAUCCUGCAGCGGUCAGCGGCUUGUGGGUGACGAGGCGGCGGCGUCGGGCAGGCGGCGGCGUCGGGCUGCCGGGCAGCGAGGGGAGCCGAGAUGCUCUCUAUGAAUAGAGAGAGUGCCUAUUUACUCUGAAAUACUUGGCACGAUUCACUCCUUGCCUGAGGCUGGAAAUGGAACUCCUGCAAGCAGAAUAAAAGAGAUGUGUGAAAAACAUGUUUUUUCUUCCUCUGUUUCUUCAGUGAAUGCAUUCCUAAUGGCUUGUACAAAGUUGUGAUGAUGCAGCCAAAGAAGAGUUUUGAAAAGCUACAUCUCAGGCAUCAAGGUCAAGAAAAACAAUUGGCUUCACAUAUGCUUUCAGGAGACCACCUUACACUCAGUGAGAGAGGAUAGAAGUGGCCCACAAUCAUCAGCCAAUCAGUCAAACACAACUCUCUAGGCAGAGAAAGGGAGAAUGCACAAUCUGCAGCUUUUUCAGUGGGUUGGAAGGUAGGUGGAGCAGUGUCUGGGCAGGGAGAGAAGCACGCAGGAGAUGUGAGAAGGUGAGUCUGUUCCACCUAGGAUGUUUAAGGAGCCAGUUUGUUGCCAUUGCAACAUCACUUACAAAACACAAGCCCAAUCCCUAAUGAGCUUAUCUUUUAAAAUAAGAGAAACCUUUCUUGCCUCAGAGUACUUGUUAUGUACUCAGAAUGUGCUGUUCUCUUUCCAAAAGCUUUUCAUCUUAAAGUGAGUUUUCGCCAACCGGUCUGAGACGGAGCUCUGUGAAACAGCAUGGCAAAAGAACAAGGCUGCAUGCCAUUCAACUUUAAUAAGUCAUGGGAGAAGAUAUUGUUUAGCCUUGCAGAGUUUAUACUCUCAGAUUUAUAACUGGAGCUUCUCAACUCCAGGAUCUGGAUACAUGCUCCCUUGCCUCCCAACCAUGUUCUGAAGUGAGAGAAAGCCAAUUUCAUGCUCUUGGGAAGGAGAUUUGAGUACACAAGUGAGAUGGGCGACUGACUGUCCAGACGACUGUGGGACCAGAGUGCUCUGGCAUAUAUUUCAUCAUUGGUCACAGUCACUCUUACAAGAAUGGGCAGUUCUUGAUAUUGGAAGAGGUGAUCCUGGAAAACCAGUAUGAAGCAUCAGCACAGUUGAAGAAAACCAUGAGAAAUGAGAAGCACCAUGGAGAAGAGCAGGCAGCUGUUAUGAACACAAUCCAACUUCCAGGACCACCCACUGCUUCACUGCAGGAAUUGGGGCGGAUUGAGUAUGUCCUGCAGCAAGAAUAAGGGAAAUUGAGACUAAGAAUUAAGGAGGAUAGGUGUUUGACUUAAGGUGAGCCUGAGGAAGGAGAGGAAAAGAUGUUUACUGGAAUGUUUUUUUUCUGAUACCUGGAUCAGUGAUUGAAAAUUUCUGUUGAUUAGUGAUUCACUGAAUUAAGUAAAACUUGCCCAGUUUUUGCCUUUAAUGCUGGCAAAUGCAAUAGCCAGAUCUUCAUUUCAUGAAGAUCUUUAGCAUAUUCUGCUUUGAUAAAAUGGAGAUGCAUUAAUCUUUGGAAACUACAGAUAAAUGCAGAUUAGGACUCUUUAUCCUGUCUGAGUACUCUGAAGAGGGGAACACAUACAAAACUAAAAGAAACUUUGACUACAUUAAUACUAGGCUGACCUAAAGAUAAUUAACGCAACCAGCUGAUAUGCUGGUUUGAAUUUACUCCUGUACUUCUGUAAUUGCUCAGCUUCCAAACCACAUCUGGUUUAUAUCUGUUUUGGAGCCAUAGAACAGACCACAAAAGGCUGCACCCAUCUCUAGCUAUUUCCUAUUUCUUUGUAUGUUUAAAAAAAUGUAAAUUCUAAAAUUCAAUAAA
Molecule: long non-coding RNA, 1887 nt
Organism: Passer domesticus (house sparrow)
Lineage: Eukaryota; Metazoa; Chordata; Aves; Passeriformes; Passeridae
Exons: 7
Source: RefSeq, a predicted model, not a curated record